Molecule: ribosomal RNA, 445 nt
Filed under: uncultured bacterium
Lineage: Bacteria
Description: bacterial SSU rRNA
Rfam family: Bacterial small subunit ribosomal RNA
Source: RNAcentral
AGUGAACGCUGGCGGCGUGCUUAACACAUGCAAGUCGAACGAGAACGGAUUAUAGCUUGCUAUAAUUGUCAGCUAAGUGGCGCACGGGUGAGUAAUGUAUAGAUAACCUGCCCUCUAGAAAGGAAUAACAGUUGGAAACGACUGCUAAUGCCCUAUAUGCCUUUAAUACAUAAGUAUGCAAGGGAAACGCUUUAGUGCUAGAGGAUGGGUCUGUAUGGUAUCAGCUUGUUGGUGAGGUAAUGGCUCACCAAGGCUAUGACGCCUAACUGGUUUGAGAGGAUGAUCAGUCACACUGGAACUGAGACACGGUCCAGACUCCUACGGGAGGCAGCAGUGGGAAUAUUGCACAAUGGACGAAAGUCUGAUGCAGCAACGCCGCGUGGAGGAUGACACAUUUCGGUGCGUAAACUCCUUUUAUAUAGGAAGAUAAUGACGGUACUAUAUG